GGGCCCGCACAAGCGGUGGAGCAUGUGGUUUAAUUCGAUGAUACGCGAGGAACCUUACCAGGACUUAAAUGUAAGUUGCAUGAUUCAGAAAUGAAUCUUUCUUCGGACUACUUACAAGGUGCUGCAUGGUUGUCGUCAGCUCGUGCCGUGAGGUGUCAGGUUAAGUCCUAUAACGAGCGCAACCCCUAUCGUUAGUUGCCAUCAAGUAAAGUUGGGAACUCUAGCGAAACUGCCGGUGCAAACCGAGAGGAAGGUGGGGAUGACGUCAAAUCAUCACGGCCCUUACGUUCUGGGCUACACACGUGCUACAAUGGUCGGUACAGAAAGCAGCCACUAUGCGAAUAGGAGCUAAUCUUUAAAACCGAUCUCAGUUCGGAUCGCAGUCUGCAACUCGACUGCGUGAAGCUGGAAUC
RNAcentral lists this ribosomal RNA (413 nucleotides) under uncultured bacterium. RNAcentral describes it as "bacterial SSU rRNA". It matches the Rfam family "Bacterial small subunit ribosomal RNA", at positions 917 to 1333 of the family's 1533-position model. The record is from RNAcentral.